Molecule: ribosomal RNA, 253 nt
Filed under: uncultured bacterium
Lineage: Bacteria
Description: partial 16S ribosomal RNA
Rfam family: Bacterial small subunit ribosomal RNA
Source: RNAcentral
UACGAGGGGGGCAAAUGUUGUUCGGAAUCACUGGGCGCAAAGGGAGCGUAGGCGGGCUUCUUAGUUAGAUGUUUAAUCCCGGGGCCCAACCCCGGACAGGCACCUAAAACUGGAAGUCUUGAAUAGUGGAGAGGACGGCGGAAUUGGGGGUGUAGCGGUGGAAUGCGUAGAGAUCCCCAAGAACACCAGUUGCGAAGGCGGCCGUCUGGACACAUAUUGACGCUGAGGCUCGAAAGCAUGGGGAGCAAACAGG